This 74-nucleotide transfer RNA is filed under the name Bacteroidales bacterium. Its description in RNAcentral is "tRNA-Asn". It matches the Rfam family "tRNA". Rfam says of the family: Transfer RNA (tRNA) molecules are approximately 80 nucleotides in length. RNAcentral also lists the same sequence under 1 other name. Lineage: Bacteria; Pseudomonadati; Bacteroidota; Bacteroidia; Bacteroidales. The record is from RNAcentral.
UCUCGAAUAGCUCAGUUGGUUAGAGCAUCUGACUGUUAAUCAGAGGGUCGCUGGUUCAAGUCCAGCUUCGAGAG